UAAGCGGGAAGCGAGCCCUGAGAUGAGUCUUCCCUGAUACUUUAAGUAUCCUAAAGGGUUGUUCGAGACUAGAACGUUGAUAGGCAGGGUGUGUAAGCGCUGUGAGGCGUUGAGCUAACCUGUACUAAUUGCCCGUGAGGCUUAACCAUACAACACCCAAAGGGUUUUG
RNAcentral lists this ribosomal RNA (169 nucleotides) under Vibrio vulnificus. RNAcentral describes it as "partial 23S ribosomal RNA". The stretch from base 1 to 149 matches the Rfam family "Bacterial large subunit ribosomal RNA", at positions 2782 to 2925 of the family's 2925-position model. The record is from RNAcentral. Lineage: Bacteria; Pseudomonadati; Pseudomonadota; Gammaproteobacteria; Vibrionales; Vibrionaceae.